Salvelinus fontinalis (brook trout) is the source of this 3473-nucleotide long non-coding RNA. RefSeq lists it as uncharacterized. The transcript is spliced from 2 exons. NCBI's taxonomy places the organism in Eukaryota, Metazoa, Chordata, Actinopteri, Salmoniformes, Salmonidae. The record is from RefSeq and is a predicted model, not a curated record.
UUAGGGUAUGGACGUCCAAAGCAUCCUGGAUAGCGCUGCCCCAUAACAUGUAAGGGGAAGAAGAAGCGUUUUAAUAUGGCGCUCGUGAGGUCAUUGCGGAUCAGAUUCAGAACGCAGAAAGUACGGGGAGUACGCUGCUGUUCAACAAGUUGCAAAAUAGAUUAAGUAAAGGAUCAUUGGAACGCAGACCAGAUGGGGGUACAUUCAACAAAUAUCAUCUAACAAAAAGGACAAGUAUCUUUGCUGCACUCCACCAAUCAGGCCUUUAUGGUAGAGUGGCCAGUCGGAAGCCACUCCUCAGUAAAAGGUACAUGACAGCCCGGUUGGAGUUUGCUAAAAGACACCUAAAGGACUCCAACUAUGAGAAACAAGAUUAUCUGGUCUGAUGAAACCAAUAUUGAACUCUUUGGCCUGAAUGCCAAGCUUCACGUCUAGAGGAAACCUGGCACCAUCCCCACGGUAAAGAAUGGUGGCAGCAUCAUGCUGUGGGGAUGUUCUUCAGCGGCAGGGACUGGGAGACUAGUCAGGAUCGAGGGAAAGAUGAACGGAACAAAGUACAGAGAGGUCCUUCGCACCUUCCAACAGGAAAACAACCCUACGCACACAGCCAAGACAACGCAGGAGUGGCUUCGGGACAAGUCUCUGAAUGUCCUUGUGUCCCUGCCAGAGCCCAGACUUGAAUCCAAUCGAACAUCCAACGCUCCCCAUCCAACCUGACAGAGCUUGUGAGGAUCUGCAGAGAAGAAUGGGACAAACUCCCCAAAUACAGGUGCCAAGCUUGUAGCGUCAUACCCAAGAACACGAGGCUCUAAUCAAUAGCUGCCAAAGGUGCUUCAACAAAGUACUGAGUAAAGGGUCUGAAUACAUAUGUAAAUAUGAUUUCAUAUUUUUUAUACAUUUGCAAAAAUGUCUAAAAGCAUGUUUUUGCUGUCAUUAUGGGGUAUUAGGCUGUAACGUAACAAAAUGUGGAAUAAGUCAAGGGGCCUGAAAACGUUCCGAAUGCACUGUAGGUAGAUGUGCCUUUCCAAAUAAUGUCAAAUCAAUUGAAUAUACCACAGGUGGACUCCAAUCAAGUUGUAGAAACAUCAAGGAUGAUCAAUGAAAACAGGAUGCACAUGAGCUCAAUUGAGUCUCAUCGCAAAGGGUCUGAAUACUUAAGUAAAUCAGAUGUUAAAAAAAAAAAUUAAGUGCAAAAAUAACUUAACUUUGUCAUUAUGAGGUAUUGUGUGUAGAUUGAGGGAAAACAUUAAUUUAAUCAAUUUUAGAAUAAGGCUGUAACGUAACAAAAUGUGGAAAAGGUCAAGGGGUAUGAAUACUUUCCGAACGCACUGUACAUUCAUGCCAGCGCCUUCAAGCUGAAGGGUUUCUUCUAUAAAAGAUACCUAUCCUCUAAAAAUCCUUGCCUUGCUUUCUUCACGUUAUGUACUUCAGGAUGGGCAUACAUCUGACAAACCACUGAGUGUCCCCUGCAUGAUAUAUUUAAAAUGUCUUGAAUCUAUAGCUGCAAGGCUGUGCAUAUCUUAUGUUCCACUAAUAUAGACACAGAACUGUUGGCAUUUUCUUUAUUCUGAAAAAAGAGUAAACAUAAGCAUGUAUAAAUACAACCAUCUUGAGUUUCCAGUUUAAAUGAUUACCGGUAAACACACAUGACAACCGAUGGAGUAGGCUACACGAACGUCACAUUAUAAAUCCCAGAGUACACAUACUGUAUCACUCACUGAUAGUAUGACUUUAUAGCAAGACACUUUCAUUAAGUAUACUGUCCUUUUCUUGCACAAACAAAAUAAACAUUUUAAGAGCAUUUAUUAAUACACAUGGCACAUAGUUUUUAAAAUACUGUCCGACUAUAAGCACUAGCACUUUGGUAGUUUUGAUCUGUGACAACUACACUGCUUCUUCAUAUAGGGAUUUGCAAUGCUUUGACAAUUGAAUAGAGGACUAAUGGUAUGCAUGCCCUGUUCUAUUUGCACAAGUCAAACUAUUACCGCAAUGCAAUAGGGCAGGCAACCCUGUUCCUGAGUACUGCAGGAUUUUUGUUCCAACUAAGGCACCACACCUGACCUAAUUGAUCACUUCAGUGAUUGCAUAAAUUCAACACACCUUGUCUUCCAGGUCAGCUAAAGCAAAAACAUGAAGUGCCUGCAGCACUCCAGGAACAGGGUUGCCUACCCCUGCAAUAGGGCCUUUACCUAUACAUAAUAUGAAUGGUAAUUUCUAGUGUAUGAUAUGUUCAUGAACUGUGUUUAAUACUGUCGUUGGCAUUUGGAGAACUGGACAAGUUGAAUCACAUCCACAUGUACAGAUAUGCAAGUAAUUUUGUCUUUGACAGAAAGCUCUGGUUAAGCAAAGACCCAUUAGCUUUGUUUGACAUAAAAGGAUCAGUUAGGCGCUGACCUCCAUGCAGAGUAGGAACAUUUCAAACCAUUUCCAGAAGCCUCAGGUAUAAAGGUGUUACGGCAGACACUUUCAUGCACAUUUUAAGAGAAACAAAAUUAUCUCUGCCAUUUUUUAAUUCCCACUUAAUUCUCUCCACCAGGACUUAAUCCUGACCUGAAGAAAGCAUUGUACUUAAAAAAGGUAUUAAACAAAUUAUGAAGCCAAUCACAUUUUUACCUGUAAAUCAGUUUCUGUAAAAACAAUUAAGUGGGUGAUAAGGCAAGCUUACCCCACACACGGCAUCAUUGACCAGCACUGAAUGCCUGCCCUACAUGAUCAUCAUGAUCCAUUCCACCAUUCCAAUCAAAUGGAAUGUAAUUUGUGAUCCGCUGUGCUGUGCAACGCAUUCUGAUUCCAUCAAUCAGUUUCCAUACUAGUUCAGUCAGUCAUAAUAUGGCAGUCUGGUCUGGGGACUCCUGACAUUGCACAUCUUCCACAGAAAGAUUCCCAUAGUGAUGUCAGAAACAACUUCCUCUAUCCAGUUUCCUGUAGUUAUUUAGGUGGAGGCUUCACAUGACGGACCACUUUCUUCUCGUACACGGUCCUCAUGGUUUUCUCUACCUGUUUGAGAAACACCUGGGGAAUCCGACCACACAGGGUGUUGACAGUGUCUAGAAACUUGGUCUGGAGGGGAUAGAACAGCGACUGGAACAAGUUGUCCUCAAAGGGGUACUGUAAAACAGAAUCAUUGCAGGCCUCAGGGUUAGACACCAGUAGUGGUAACUUAUCAAACCUCUUAUAAAUCAACCGUGCCAUUGGCUUACUGUAGGUACAGUAGAAGGGGAUGGAUAUUAAUCAAAUUGUGUGGUUAAUAAAAGGCUUAUCUAUGGACAGCAGAGGGGGCUGAUGUUGCGGUGAGACAAGGAUUUCCUUACGUUAACAUUUCCACAGCAUUUCCAAGGAGAGAAAAGGACAGAAGGAUUUAAUACCAAGAUUGAUCAUUUUCUGAGAUCCUCCCCCUUCAUAUUUUGUUGCCUUUGUCCCAAAGGAUGUAACCGGCAAUCUAGUAAAUAAACGUGCAAUUUUUAGUGAAACAA